This 478-nucleotide ribosomal RNA is filed under the name uncultured bacterium. RNAcentral's name for it is "partial 16S ribosomal RNA". It matches the Rfam family "Bacterial small subunit ribosomal RNA", at positions 28 to 523 of the family's 1533-position model. The record is from RNAcentral.
GACGAACGCUGGCGGCGUGCUUAACACAUGCAAGUCGAACGGUAAGGCCCUUCGGGGUACACGAGUGGCGAACGGGUGAGUAACACGUGGGUGAUCUGCCCUGCACUUCGGGAUAAGCCUGGGAAACUGGGGCUAAUACCGGAUAGGACCACUGCCUGCAUGGGUGGUGGUGGAAAGCUUUUGCGGUGUGGGAUGGGCCUGCGGCCUAUCAGCUUGUUGGGGGGGUGAUGACCUACCAAGGCGACGACGGGUAGCCGGCCUGAGAGGGUGACCUGCCACACUGGGACUGAGAUACGGCCCAGUCUCCUACGGGAGGCAGCAGUGGGUAAUAUUGCACAAUGGGCGCAAGCCUGAUGCAGCGACGCCGCGUGAGGGAUGACGGCCUUCGGGUUGUAAACCUCUUUCAGCACCGGCGAAGCGCAAGUGACGUUAGGUGCAGAAGAAGGACCGGCCAACUACGUGCCAGCAGCCGCGGUAA